Molecule: long non-coding RNA, 672 nt
Filed under: Homo sapiens (human)
Lineage: Eukaryota; Metazoa; Chordata; Mammalia; Primates; Hominidae
Description: non-protein coding lnc-GNA13-2:15
Source: RNAcentral
UGUUUUUAAAUGUUCUUCCAUAUUAUAGGAUCUCUAUGAAGCACCAGAAUUAUCAGUGAAGAAUAUAUUAAAUGGCUCACGGGCUACUGUAAAGCAUAUUUCUAUCGCUUGAGAGUAAAACUGCUAGAACCAGUUCCUGUUUCUACAACAAGGUGUUCCUUUAGAGUCAAUGAGAACACACAAAACCUACAAAUUCAUGCAGGGGACAUCCUGAAGUUCUUGAAAAAGAAGAAACCUGAAGAUGCCUUCUGUGUUGUGGGAAUAACAAUGAUUGAUCUUUACCCAAGAGACUUGUGGAAUUUUGUCUUUGGACAGGCCUCUUUGACAGAUGGCACUGGUGAGGUGGAUUGAUGAUGAAUCUUCUGGCACACCUGGAGCAACUCCAGAACACAGUCGUGAGGAUAAUGGGAAUUUACUGAAACCCGUGGAAGGAAGCCUUUAAGGAAUGGAAAGAGUGGAUAAUAAAAUGCCUGACUGUUCUCCAAAAAUAAGGACCUUCAAAUAGGAGUGAUUGAAAUAAAUGACUACUUGCAUGUUAUGCUUUCAUUUGGGUGGAAUACUUCAUCAGAAUAAACUAUUGAUCUUGUGCUGUGUCAAAGUAACAGACUAGAACCUUCUUUCAAGUACCUGAAUUGAAAUGAAACUCAUUUUGAAUAAUAAAAACUCUAGAAA